Molecule: long non-coding RNA, 546 nt
Organism: Juglans microcarpa x Juglans regia
Lineage: Eukaryota; Viridiplantae; Streptophyta; Magnoliopsida; Fagales; Juglandaceae
Exons: 2
Source: RefSeq, a predicted model, not a curated record
AAAGAAAUCUAACAACAAUUGACUCCACACUAAUUCGUAAAUUGAAAAACAAAAAGUAUAGAAGUGUAUAGAUUAUAAGGCUUGCCUUCAAUAAGACAAUUGGUCUAAUGAUCUUUAUCUAUUUUUGCUAUGCUUGUCAAAUAUGAGUUGUCUGCUGCAAGGGUAGAAAAUACUUUUUUCUUAGUGAUGAUUUUUUUCUUGUUUUUAAAAUUAACAAGUAGAAGUUUGUUGUUUCUCAAGUAACAAGGUGGAAUUAUAGUUGCAGGUCAUGGAAAAACUAACAUCUCAUUCGUUCACAACGACAAAGAAGCUGGGAAUGAUCCUAAUAUCAAAGAUGUUCUGAAAGCCUGUUGUUCAUGAAGAAGAAAUGGCGUGCAUGCUAAAAUCCUCUAUCAGAUUUUACUUAAUUUAUAUAUACUUUCUAUUUGCACACUUAUCUCAUACAAACACACUGGCCCCAUUUUAUUUCAGCAGCUUCCAACCUUGAAAAGUGAGUAGUUCAGGUUUAUGAGGUGAUUUAGAAUGCUUACAAAUAAUAUUUUUCUU